RNAcentral lists this ribosomal RNA (467 nucleotides) under uncultured bacterium. RNAcentral describes it as "bacterial SSU rRNA". It matches the Rfam family "Bacterial small subunit ribosomal RNA", at positions 328 to 792 of the family's 1533-position model. The record is from RNAcentral.
UUGCCAGACUCCUACGGGAGGCAGCAGUGAGGAAUAUUGGUCAAUGGGCUUACGCCUGAACCAGCCAAGUCGCGUGAGGGAAGACUGCCCUAUGGGUUGUAAACCUCUUUUGUCAGGGAGCAAUUGGCGCUACGUGUAGCGUUAUCGAGAGUACCUGAAGAAAAAGCAUCGGCUAACUCCGUGCCAGCAGCCGCGGUAAUACGGAGGAUGCGAGCGUUAUCCGGAUUUAUUGGGUUUAAAGGGUGCGCAGGCGGUCUGUUAAGUCAGCGGUCAAAGCCCGGGGCUCAACCCCGUACUGCCGUUGAAACUGCAUCCCUUGAGUGCGCGAGAAGUAUGCGGAAUGCGUGGUGUAGCGGUGAAAUGCAUAGAUAUCGCGCAGAACUCCGAUUGCGAAGGCAGCAUACCGGCGCCCAACUGACGCUCAGGCACGAAAGCGUGGGUAUCGAACAGGAUUAGAUACCCUUGUA